CGUAGGGAGCGAGCGUUGUCCGGAAUUACUGGGUGUAAAGGGAGCGUAGGCGGGACUGCAAGUCAGAUGUGAAACUAUGGGCUCAACCUGUAGAUUGCAUUUGAAACUGUGGUUCUUGAGUGAAGUAGAGGUAAGCGGAAUUCCUAGUGUAGCGGUGAAAUGCGUAGAUAUUAGGAGGAACAUCGGUGGCGAAGGCGGCUUACUGGGCUUUUACUGACGCUGAGGCUCGAAAGCGUGGGAGCAAACAGGAUU
This 252-nucleotide ribosomal RNA is filed under the name uncultured bacterium. RNAcentral's name for it is "partial 16S ribosomal RNA". It matches the Rfam family "Bacterial small subunit ribosomal RNA", at positions 526 to 779 of the family's 1533-position model. The record is from RNAcentral.